UACGAAGGGGGCUAGCGUUGCUCGGAAUCACUGGGCGUAAAGCGCACGUAGGCGGACUCUUAAGUCGGGGGUGAAAUCCUGGAGCUCAACUCCAGAACUGCCUUCGAUACUGAGAGUCUUCGAGUUCGGGAGAGGUGAGUGGAACUGCGAGUGUAGAGGUGAAAUUCGUAGAUAUUCGCAAGAACACCAGUGGCGAAGGCGGCUCACUGGCCCGGUACUGACGCUGAGGUGCGAAAGCGUGGGGAGCAAACAGG
This 254-nucleotide ribosomal RNA is filed under the name uncultured bacterium. Its description in RNAcentral is "partial 16S ribosomal RNA". It matches the Rfam family "Bacterial small subunit ribosomal RNA", at positions 524 to 776 of the family's 1533-position model. The record is from RNAcentral.